GACGAACGCUGGCGGCGUGCUUAACACAUGCAAGUCGAACGGAAAGGCCCUGCUUUUGUGGGGUGCUCGAGUGGCGAACGGGUGAGUAACACGUGAGUAACCUGCCCUUGACUUUGGGAUAACUUCAGGAAACUGGGGCUAAUACCGGAUAGGAGCUCCUGCUGCAUGGUGGGGGUUGGAAAGUUUCGGCGGUUGGGGAUGGACUCGCGGCUUAUCAGCUUGUUGGUGGGGUAGUGGCUUACCAAGGCUUUGACGGGUAGCCGGCCUGAGAGGGUGACCGGCCACAUUGGGACUGAGAUACGGCCCAGACUCCUACGGGAGGCAGCAGUGGGGAAUAUUGCACAAUGGGCGGAAGCCUGAUGCAGCAACGCCGCGUGCGGGAUGACGGCCUUCGGGUUGUAAACCGCUUUCGCCUGUGACGAAGCGUGAGUGACGGUAAUGGGUAAAGAAGCACCGGCUAACUACGUGCCAGCAGCCGCGGUGAUACGUAGGGUGCGAGCGUUGUCCGGAUUUAUUGGGCGUAAAGGGCUCGUAGGUGGUUGAUCGCGUCGGAAGUGUAAUCUUGGGGCUUAACCCUGAGCGUGCUUUCGAUACGGGUUGACUUGAGGAAGGUAGGGGAGAAUGGAAUUCCUGGUGGAGCGGUGGAAUGCGCAGAUAUCAGGAGGAACACCAGUGGCGAAGGCGGUUCUCUGGGCCUUUCCUGACGCUGAGGAGCGAAAGCGUGGGGAGCGAACAGGCUUAGAUACCCUGGUAGUCCACGCUGUAAACGGUGGGUACUAGGUGUGGGGUCCAUUCCACGGGUUCCGUGCCGUAGCUAACGCUUUAGGUACCCCGCCUGGGGAGUACGGCCGCAAGGCUAAAACUCAAAGGAAUUGACGGGGCCCCGCACAAGCGGCGGAGCAUGCGGAUUAAUUCGAUGCAACGCGUAGAACCUUACCUGGGUUUGACAUGGAUCGGGAGUGCUCAGAGAUGGGUGUGCCUCUUUUGGGGUCGGUUCACAGGUGGUGCAUGGCUGUCGUCAGCUCGUGUCGUGAGAUGUUGGGUUAAGUCCCGCAACGAGCGCAACCCUUGUUCACUGUUGCCAGCACGUUAUGGUGGGGACUCAGUGGAGACCGCCGGGGUCAACUCGGAGGAAGGUGGGGAUGACGUCAAGUCAUCAUGCCCCUUAUGUCCAGGGCUUCACGCAUGCUACAAUGGCUGGUACAGAGAGUGGCGAGCCUGUGAGGGUGAGCGAAUCUCGGAAAGCCGGUCUCAGUUCGGAUUAGGGUCUGCAACUCGACCUCAUGAAGUCGGAGUCGCUAGUAAUCGCAGAUCAGCAACGCUGCGGUGAAUACGUUCCCGGGGCU
This 1346-nucleotide ribosomal RNA is filed under the name uncultured bacterium. Its description in RNAcentral is "partial 16S ribosomal RNA". It matches the Rfam family "Bacterial small subunit ribosomal RNA", at positions 28 to 1381 of the family's 1533-position model. The record is from RNAcentral.